RNAcentral lists this ribosomal RNA (1338 nucleotides) under Enterobacter ludwigii. RNAcentral's name for it is "bacterial SSU rRNA". It matches the Rfam family "Bacterial small subunit ribosomal RNA", at positions 28 to 1358 of the family's 1533-position model. The record is from RNAcentral. Lineage: Bacteria; Pseudomonadati; Pseudomonadota; Gammaproteobacteria; Enterobacterales; Enterobacteriaceae.
AUUGAACGCUGGCGGCAGGCCUAACACAUGCAAGUCGAACGGUAGCACAGAGAGCUUGCUCUCGGGUGACGAGUGGCGGACGGGUGAGUAAUGUCUGGGAAACUGCCUGAUGGAGGGGGAUAACUACUGGAAACGGUAGCUAAUACCGCAUAACGUCGCAAGACCAAAGAGGGGGACCUUCGGGCCUCUUGCCAUCAGAUGUGCCCAGAUGGGAUUAGCUAGUAGGUGGGGUAACGGCUCACCUAGGCGACGAUCCCUAGCUGGUCUGAGAGGAUGACCAGCCACACUGGAACUGAGACACGGUCCAGACUCCUACGGGAGGCAGCAGUGGGGAAUAUUGCACAAUGGGCGCAAGCCUGAUGCAGCCAUGCCGCGUGUAUGAAGAAGGCCUUCGGGUUGUAAAGUACUUUCAGCGGGGAGGAAGGUGUUGUGGUUAAUAACCACAGCAAUUGACGUUACCCGCAGAAGAAGCACCGGCUAACUCCGUGCCAGCAGCCGCGGUAAUACGGAGGGUGCAAGCGUUAAUCGGAAUUACUGGGCGUAAAGCGCACGCAGGCGGUCUGUCAAGUCGGAUGUGAAAUCCCCGGGCUCAACCUGGGAACUGCAUUCGAAACUGGCAGGCUAGAGUCUUGUAGAGGGGGGUAGAAUUCCAGGUGUAGCGGUGAAAUGCGUAGAGAUCUGGAGGAAUACCGGUGGCGAAGGCGGCCCCCUGGACAAAGACUGACGCUCAGGUGCGAAAGCGUGGGGAGCAAACAGGAUUAGAUACCCUGGUAGUCCACGCCGUAAACGAUGUCGACUUGGAGGUUGUGCCCUUGAGGCGUGGCUUCCGGAGCUAACGCGUUAAGUCGACCGCCUGGGGAGUACGGCCGCAAGGUUAAAACUCAAAUGAAUUGACGGGGGCCCGCACAAGCGGUGGAGCAUGUGGUUUAAUUCGAUGCAACGCGAAGAACCUUACCUACUCUUGACAUCCAGAGAACUUUCCAGAGAUGGAUUGGUGCCUUCGGGAACUCUGAGACAGGUGCUGCAUGGCUGUCGUCAGCUCGUGUUGUGAAAUGUUGGGUUAAGUCCCGCAACGAGCGCAACCCUUAUCCUUUGUUGCCAGCGGUCCGGCCGGGAACUCAAAGGAGACUGCCAGUGAUAAACUGGAGGAAGGUGGGGAUGACGUCAAUUCCUCAUGGUCCUUACCACUACGGCUACUCACAUGCUACAAUGGCGCAUACUAAUACACUCGAAUUCGCGAGAGCAAGCGGACCUCCUCAAGUGCUCCAUAGUCCGCAUUGAACUCAACAACUCGACUCCAUGAAGUCGGAAUCGCUAGUAAACGUAGACCAGAAUGCU